UUUUCCGGUUGAUCCUGCCGGACCUGACUGCUAUCGGAUUGAUACUAAGCCAUGCGAGUCAUUGUAGCAAUACAAGGCAGACGGCUCAGUAACGCGUAGUCAAUCUACCCUAUGGACGGGAAUAACCUCGGGAAACUGAGAAUAAUGCCCGAUAGAACAUUAUGCCUGGAAUGGUUUAUGUUUCAAAUGAUUUAUCGCCAUAGGAUGGGACUGCGGCCUAUCAGUUUGUGGGUGAGGUAAUGGCCCACCAAGACUAUUACAGGUACGGGCUCUGAGAGGAGUAGCCCGGAGAUGGGUACUGAGACACGGACCCAGGCCCUAUGGGGCGCAGCAGGCGAGAAAACUUUGCAAUGUGCGAAAGCACGACAAGGUUAAUCCGAGUGGUUUCUGCUAAAGAAACCUUUUGUCAGUCCUAGAAACACUAACGAAUAAGGGGUGGGCAAGUUCUGGUGUCAGCCGCCGCGGUAAAACCAGCACCUCAAGUGGUCAGGAUGAUUAUUGGGCCUAAAGCAUCCGUAGCUCGUUUUGUAAGUUUUCGGUUAAAUCCAUGCGCUUAACGUAUGGGCUGCCGGGAAUACUGCAUAACUAGGAAGUGGGAGAGGUAGACGGUACUCGGGAGGAAGGGGUAAAAUCCUUUGAUCUCUUGAUGACCACCUGUGGCGAAGGCGGUCUACCAGAACACGUUCGACGGUGAGGGAUGAAAGCUGGGGGAGCAAACCGGAUUAGAUACCCGGGUAGUCCCAGCUGUGAACGAUGCAGACUCGGUGAUGCACUGGCUUUUGGCCAGUGCAGUGCCGCAGGGAAGCCGUUAAGUUUGCCGCCUGGGAAGUACGUACGCAAGUAUGAAACUUAAAGGAAUUGGCGGGGGAGCAC
Molecule: ribosomal RNA, 873 nt
Filed under: uncultured archaeon
Lineage: Archaea
Description: bacterial SSU rRNA
Rfam family: Archaeal small subunit ribosomal RNA
Source: RNAcentral